This 30-nucleotide non-coding RNA is filed under the name Mus musculus (house mouse). The record is from RNAcentral. Lineage: Eukaryota; Metazoa; Chordata; Mammalia; Rodentia; Muridae.
UAGCAGAGCUGCUUAUUCUUCAACUUAAGA